Long non-coding RNA from Cyprinus carpio carpio, 2791 nucleotides. The record is from Ensembl. Lineage: Eukaryota; Metazoa; Chordata; Actinopteri; Cypriniformes; Cyprinidae.
CACAGAGCAAGUUAAAGCCAUAACCAUGCUUGUUUUACUGCUGAUCGCAUCAAUGUUUCGGCAAGGUCUUACAGUAGUGGGCUACGGAGACAACUUUAUCACUGCCUUUCCAGAGAACAUUGGUUUCUUCUAUACGUCUAAUACCAAUAACCGUCUAAGAGUCACAGCCCUGCAUGACAACACUUCAUUAAAAGUCUUCUACAAAACCACACAGAAAGACUUACAAAUUCCAAAGUCAGGACAGACCAUGAUUAUUUUGUUUCCAAAGUCCGCUGAAGUAAAUGAACUAGGCCCCUCGAUUUUAUCUGUCAGAAUUACCAGUGACAAAAACAUCACAGUGGUUUCUAUAAGUCACCAGGCAGGCAGCACCCAGUCCUAUGUCGUCCAGCCAACUGUAAAUCUUGGCACAAACUAUUUGAUCCCUUUGCUGGAUUACCCAGGGUAUCUUGAAUCUUUUAACCUAACUAGGCUUGUCAGUACAACCAUAAGAUACAGCUCAUUCAAGUUACUCAUUAUCAAUGCGGUGGACAGUCAAAACAGCGUCACUAUAGUCAAGCAAACAUCAGCAUCAGGUGUUCGUGAAGAGACGUUCAGUAUCAAUUCCUACCAACUGGUCCAGCUUCAGACCAAUGGUUCUAUUUUGAGGGUCAAAUCGAGCAAAGAAGUCGCUGUGAUAUUGACCCACCCGUGUGUAGAGACUGAGAACUGUAAAUGUAACAUGGUAAUGAAUCAGAUUCUUCCCACAAAGUUUCAGGGUCGGAGCUUUAUCGUACCUUCCAUCUUCAAAGUGUCCAAGACCAAGCUACUUAUGCUAUCAGAAAACACAUCCACGCUAUUCCACGAUGGUAACCAGUUACAGGCUUCUCCCUCGACGCUUCUGCCAUUUUCAGACCCGCAGAAAUCCCAGCUGGUUAAUGCUACGGAGCUAGUGUCCCUCAGACUUUUCAGUCCAGGUCUCAUUGUGGAGCUGAUCCCAGAAAACAUGUUCUUUGCUUGCUACCUGCUGCAGUUUGCUGAAAUAAAUGGCAAGGCUUUGGUGAUCGCUGAAACAGACAGCAAAGAUGACGUGCGCAUACAUGGAGGUUUGCUCUCAGCAUCUAACUGGACUGCAAUCACUGGCACAAACUACUCUUCAACUGUUGUAACUAUACCUUAUAAAAUGUCCACAAUCUGGCAUCCAACAUCAAGGAUUGCUGUUUAUAUGCUGGAUUAUAUAUCUGAAAAAGUAAUAUUUGGAGGCCCAGCUGUACCAAUCAAUAAAAAACCAGUUUUCAGUGGUGCACGACCCUGGCUGGUGGAAGGCAAAAGGUAAAAAUCUCUUCAUUUGUUCAUGCAUCCAGAUCUUCAUGGCUGUGUGUUGGUUCCCGGAGCAUUUGCGAUUGGACGGGACCCCCUGACUUGGAAGAAGUCUCGCGAGUACUGCAUGAAUAAUCAAAAUCAGUUUGCCUGUCCUAUAACUGAAUCUGUCCAUAAAGAUAUGGCUGAUAACCUGACCAAGGAGGAUGGGGAAGGCUGGAUCGGUCUCCGCCGCAGUUUACUAACUACAGGCUGGUACUGGCAGGAGGAGUAUGAUCCCCCAAUCUCUGUCAAAUACGUUCACUGGGACAAAAAGCAUCCACUGCAUGUUUUGAAGGGCUUAUGCACUUCAGUGUCCCUUGACCCUAAAAAUGAUUUCAAAUGGCGAAGUGCACGGUGCUGUGAUAAAAAGAAGCCUGUCUGCUACAAAAGGCCUGCAUAUCUCAAUCCCUCACAAGAUUUCUUGGUAAUAGAAAUGUAGUUUAGUGCUUGUUGGUAAUGCUAUUCUUUAGGUUCUUUAUUUCCUACUUGUAUCACCGCCUGCAUAUCUGAGAUUUCAAGCAGUUGCAUUGAUAUCAUGAACGUAUGUAGACAUUCUAAACAUUCAGACAGUUGGAUCCGGAAUUAAACUCUGUUUUUUUAACUUAGACAUCAACUCAAAUGGUAGCAGGAAGUAGAUCCUGGAGUUAUGAAUGCCAUAUCAACAAUAAAAUGUAAAUCAUUAAUAAAAUGAACAAAAUAUUACAAUCAACAUACACCUUUAAAGUGUUGUGUAUAACAAAUUAAAAUGAAAGUGAAAGUGAAGUGACAUACAGCCAAGUAUGGUAAGCCCAUACUCAGAAUUUGUGCUCUGCAAUUAUCCCAUCCACACACACAGAUAUAAAGCAUGAGUUGAAUAUGAUUUUUAAAAACAGGCAUGUAGUCCUUAUUUGUGCCUGAAGUAUUUUUUCACCACUGUCUGACAGUAUGGUAACAUCUACUGAUUUUAUGCUCAAAAUAUAAUAUAGUGACUGAUGAAAUAAUGCUACAUAGCAUACAUAUCCCUAAUCAAAGCAUGUAGUGACCAGUUCCUAUAACCUACUUCAUGUACCCAAUUACUGUAACAAAAUCUGUGAAUGUGCUUUUCAUUGUGUGUAAUGGAUCCACUAAUCAGCAGACAUUGUCUCAGGUCUGAUUUGAACUGAAUCUGCAUGAAUUAAAUGUAUUGCUUGUCACUUUUAUGUUCCCUUGUACAUUCUGAUGUUCUGACAAAACCUUCUUUCCUAGAGACAGUGUUGAGUGCUUUUUUUAUAGGUACAAAUUAUGCAAGCUCCUAUGCAAAUUAUUAUAACCAAGCCUGGUAGAUGUGGGUAUUUGUAAAAGCAUGUAUCUAUUUGAAUGCUACUUCACAAUUUUGCAUGUAAAACAACCAUAUGACAUACUGUACAUUCAGGCUACUUGUUGCCAGCAGAUGUGUUUAAAUAGUGAAGCAAAUGUUGGCAAGUCCCAGUAAAAU